GAUGAACGCUAGCGGCAGGCCUAACACAUGCAAGUCGAGGGAGAAGCCCUUUCGGGGGCAGAAACCGGCGCACGGGUGCGUAACGCGUAUGCAACCUACCUUUCACAGGGGGAUAGCCCGAAGAAAUUUGGAUUAAUACCCCAUAAUAUUAUUGGAUGGCAUCAUUUGAUAAUUAAAACUGCGGUGGUGAAAGAUGGGCAUGCGUCCUAUUAGCUAGUUGGAGUGGUAACGGCACCCCAAGGCUACGAUAGGUAGGGGUCCUGAGAGGGAGAUCCCCCACACUGGUACUGAGACAGGGACCAGACUCCUACGGGAGGCAGCAGUGAGGAAUAUUGGUCAAUGGUCGGAAGACUGAACCAGCCAUGCCGCGUGCAGGAAGAAUGCCUUAUGGGUUGUAAACUGCUUUUAUAUGGGAAGAAUAAGGUGUACGUGUACAUNGANGACGNUNCCA
Molecule: ribosomal RNA, 451 nt
Filed under: uncultured bacterium
Lineage: Bacteria
Description: bacterial SSU rRNA
Rfam family: Bacterial small subunit ribosomal RNA
Source: RNAcentral